Molecule: ribosomal RNA, 468 nt
Filed under: uncultured bacterium
Lineage: Bacteria
Description: partial 16S ribosomal RNA
Rfam family: Bacterial small subunit ribosomal RNA
Source: RNAcentral
GACGAACGCUGGCGGCGUGCUUAACACAUGCAAGUCGAACGGAAAGGCCCUGCUUUUGUGGGGUGCUCGAGUGGCGAACGGGUGAGUAACACGUGAGUAACCUGCCCUUGACUUUGGGAUAACUUCAGGAAACUGGGGCUAAUACCGUAUAGGAGCUCCUGCUGCAUGGUGGGGGUUGGAACGUUUCGGCUGUUGGGGAUGGACUCGCGGCUUAUCAGCUUGUUGGUGGGGUAGUGGCUUACCAAGGCUUUGACGGGUAGUCGGCCUGAGAGGGUGACCGGCCACAAUGGGACUGAGAGACGGCCCAGACGCCUACGGGAGGCAGCAGUGGGGAAUAUGGCACAAUGGGCGGAAGCCUGAUGCAGCAACGCCGCGUGCGGGAUGACGGCCUUCGGGUUGUAAACCGCUUUCGCCUGUGACGAAGCGGGAGUGACGGUAAUGGGUAAAGAAGCACCGGCUAACUACGUG